RNAcentral lists this ribosomal RNA (449 nucleotides) under uncultured bacterium. Its description in RNAcentral is "partial 16S ribosomal RNA". It matches the Rfam family "Bacterial small subunit ribosomal RNA", at positions 29 to 523 of the family's 1533-position model. The record is from RNAcentral.
AACGAACGCUGGCGGCAGGCUUAACACAUGCAAGUCGAACGCAUCCUUCGGGGUGAGUGGCAGACGGGUGAGUAACGCGUGGGAACGUGCCCUUCAGUUCGGGAUAACCCAGGGAAACUUGGGCUAAUACCGGAUACGUGCGAGAGCAGAAAGAUUUAUCGCUGAAGGAUCGGCCCGCGUCUGAUUAGCUAGUUGGUGAGGUAAUGGCUCACCAAGGCGACGAUCAGUAGCUGGUCUGAGAGGAUGAUCAGCCACAUUGGGACUGAGACACGGCCCAAACUCCUACGGGAGGCAGCAGUGGGGAAUAUUGGACAAUGGGCGCAAGCCUGAUCCAGCCAUGCCGCGUGAGUGAUGAAGGCCUUAGGGUUGUAAAGCUCUUUCGUCCGGGACGAUAAUGGCGGUACCGGAAGAAGAAGCCCCGGCUAACUUCGUGCCAGCAGCCGCCGUAA